UCCCACUUGCUCCCGAAGAACUCCGAAGUUCAAUUCACCUUCCCCAGCUCCUAGAAUUGAAACUCUCAAGGUCUAUCUCACAAAACAGAGGAAGUUUCAAAUCUGACAAGUUAUUCUGGUCCUUAUCACCCAUAUGAUAGAGAUAAGAAGAACUCUUUCCUAAUAUAGAACUAAACAACUAUCCAUCAUCAUAAAGAAAUGGCAAGGUCUCUGACUGGGACCUGAGUUUGAAGAAAAAAAUUCUCUUGAGAUAUUGAAACAUGUGCAUACCUCUUG
Molecule: long non-coding RNA, 276 nt
Organism: Hyaena hyaena (striped hyena)
Lineage: Eukaryota; Metazoa; Chordata; Mammalia; Carnivora; Hyaenidae
Exons: 2
Source: RefSeq, a predicted model, not a curated record